RNAcentral lists this transfer RNA (76 nucleotides) under Pseudomonadota bacterium. RNAcentral's name for it is "tRNA-Ile". It matches the Rfam family "tRNA". Rfam says of the family: Transfer RNA (tRNA) molecules are approximately 80 nucleotides in length. Their secondary structure includes four short double-helical elements and three loops (D, anti-codon, and T loops). RNAcentral also lists the same sequence under 1 other name. The record is from RNAcentral. Lineage: Bacteria; Pseudomonadati; Pseudomonadota.
GGGCCUAUAGCUCAGGUGGUAGAGCGCGCGCCUGAUAAGCGCGAGGUCGAUAGUUCGACUCUAUCUAGGCCCACCA